UCUUAGCCCAGAUAGAAGCGGCAUCCUUUUUAUGAUUUUUUUUAAUCAUAAAAAGAUAUAGCGGAUAGCUGGAUUAAGC
This is a small RNA of Flavobacterium sp. FPG59, 79 nucleotides long. It matches the Rfam family "Flavo-1 RNA". The record is from Rfam. NCBI's taxonomy places the organism in Bacteria, Pseudomonadati, Bacteroidota, Flavobacteriia, Flavobacteriales, Flavobacteriaceae.